Molecule: long non-coding RNA, 574 nt
Filed under: Trifolium pratense (red clover)
Lineage: Eukaryota; Viridiplantae; Streptophyta; Magnoliopsida; Fabales; Fabaceae
Description: long non-coding RNA (TPRA_LNC010546)
Source: RNAcentral
AGGGAAAGUGAUCUUUUCUAGUUGCCUGGUUCAACCUCCUGUAAUCGAUACAAACUCUCCAACUGUUCUGGACUCUAGUGGGUACAAGUUCAUUUUUUUUUCAUUUUUCACCACAGUGAGUCCAGAUUUCUUAGGCACAACCUAUACUGGACUUACCCAAUUACUGUCAGAGAUCGGAUAAAUGAUACCUGCUUGUAACAAUUUAGUUACCUCCUUUUUCACAACAUCAAGAAUCAAAGGGUUGAGUCUCCUUUGGGGUUGUCUCACCACUUUAGCUCCCUCCUCAAGGUGAAUCUGAUGCAUGCACAUUAUGGGGCUAAUGCCUGGUAUGUCAGCUAAGGUCCAUCCGAUUGCCUUCUUAUGCUGCUUCAAAACCUGCAAAAGCUUUUCUUCCUGCUCACAAUCAAGGUUAGAAGAAAUAAUCACAGGUAGCUUUUCAUUUUCCUCUAAGUAAGCAUAUUUCAGAUUUUCAGGAAGCGGUUUAAGCUCCAAGGACGGUGGUUGUUCUAUGGAUGGUUUUGUUGGAACAGCCGGGAUGUCAAGAGUUUCAACUGCGUAAACAGCUUCAUUGGCA